GACGAACGCUGGCGGCAUGCCUAACACAUGCAAGUCGAACGAGAACUUCGGGUCUAGUUGCGCACGGGUGCGUAACGCGUGGGAACCUGCCUUUAGGUUCGGAAUAACUCAGAGUAAUUUGAGCUAAUACCGGAUGAUGUCUUCGGACCAAAGAUUUAUCGCCUUUUGAUGGGCCCGCGUUGGAUUAGCUAGUUGGUGGGGUAAAGGCCUACCAAGGCGACGAUCCAUAGCUGGUCUGAGAGGAUGAUCAGCCACACUGGGACUGAGACACGGCCCAGACUCCGACGGGAGGCAGCAGUGGGGAAUAUUGGACAAUGGGCGAAAGCCUGAUCCAGCAAUGCCGCGUGAGUGAGGAAGGCCUUAGGGUUGUAAAGCUCUUUUACCCGAGAUGAUAAUGACAGUAUCGGGAGAAUAAGCUCCGGCUAACUACGUG
Molecule: ribosomal RNA, 433 nt
Filed under: uncultured bacterium
Lineage: Bacteria
Description: partial 16S ribosomal RNA
Rfam family: Bacterial small subunit ribosomal RNA
Source: RNAcentral